UCUGUCAUAUUCUAUUAGCUUGCUACGGCCCACCACCUAUCUUUCAGCUGUUCUAACAUAAUUGCAAAAUGGUUUUCUAAUGAUCAAUUAGCCUUUUAAAAUGGUAAACUUGGAUUAGCUAACACAACGUGCCAUUGGAACACAGGAGUGAUGGUUGCUGAUAAUGGUACACCUAUGUAGAUAUUCCAUUAAAAAUCUGCCGUUUCCAGCUACAAUAGUCAUUUACAACAUUAACAAUGAGUACACUGUAUUUCUGAUCGAUUUGAUAUUAUUUUAAUGGACAAAUUGUUUUGCUUUUCUUUCAAAAUCAAAGACAUUUCUAAGUGACCACAAACUUUUGAACAGUAGUGUGUGUACAUUUGAAGUCGGAAGUUUAGGUUGGAGUCAUUAAAACUCGUUUUUCAACCACUCCACAAAUGUCUUGUUAACAAACUAUAGUUUUGGCAAGUCAGUUAGGACAUCUACUUUGUGCAUGACAAGUCAUUUUUCCAACAAUUCUUUGCAGACCGAUUAUUUCACUUAUAAUUCACUGUGUCACAAUUCCAGUGGGUCAGAAGUUUACACACACUAAGUUGACUGUGCCUUUAAACAGCUUGGAAAAUUCCAGACAAUGAUGUCAUGGCUUUAGAAGCUUCUGAUAGGCUAAUAACAUAAUUUUGACUCAAUUGGAGGUGUACCUGUGGAUGUAUUUCAAGGCCUAUACCUUCAAACUCUGCUUCUUGGCUUGACAUCAUGGGAAAAUGUAAAGAAAUCAGCCAAGACCUCCAGAAAAAAGCAAACUGUAAACCAAUCAAAACUGGUUUUCUGCCAAUCACAUUAUCCGUACCUAUAAGGUAGUCGACAGUUGGUGACAACUCGAGAGAGAUCUCCAUCUGACAAACUGCUAUCAGAUCCUCUCAAGCUGAACCUUCACCUCAAGGUGAACCUUCGCCCCAGUCUGAGGUCCUGAGAACUCUGGAGCAGAUUUUCAUCAAGAAUCUCUCUGUACUUUGCUCCGUUUAUCUUUCCCUUGAUCCUGACUAGUCUCCCAGUCCCUGCCUCUGAAAAACAUCCCCACAGCAUGAUGCUGCCACCACCAUGCUUCACCGUAGGGAUGGUGCCAGGUUUCCUCCAGACGUGAUGCUUGGCUUUCAGGCCAAAGAGUUCAAUCUUGGUUUCACCAGAACAGGGAAUAUUCUUUCUCAUGGUCUUGAGUCCUUUCGGUGCCUUUUGACAAAUUGCAAGUGGGUUGUUAUGUGCCCUUUACUGAGGAGUGGCUUCCAUCUGGCCACUCUACCAUAAAGGUCUGAUUGGUGGAGUGCUGCAGAGAUGGUUGUCCUUCUGGAAGCUUCUCCCAUCUCCACAGAGGACCUCUGGAGCUCUGUCAGAGUGACCAACGGGUUCUUGUUCACCAACCUGACUAAGGCUCUUCUCCCCUGAUUGCUCAGUUUGGCCGAGCGGCCAGCUCUAGGAAGAGUCUUGGUGGUUCCAAACUUCUUCCAUUUCAGAAUGACGGAGGCCACUGUGUUCUUGGGGACCUUCAAUGCUGCAGAAAUGUUUUGGUACCCUUCCCCAGAUCUGUGCCUCGACACAAUCCUGUCUCAGAGCUCUACGCACAAUUCCUUUGACCUCAUGGCUUGGUUUUUGCUCUGACAUGCACUGUCAACUGUGAGACCUUAUAUAGACAGGUGCCUUUCCAAAUCACGUCCAAUCAAUUGAAUUUACCACAGAUGGACUCCAAUCAAGUUGUGGAAACUUCUCAAGGAUGAUCAAUGGAAUCAGGAUGCAACUGAGCUGAAUUUUGUGUCUCAUAGCAAAGGGUCUGAAUACUUAUGUAAAUAAGGUUCUUCUGUUUUUAUUUUGUAUAAAUUUGCAAAUGUUUAUACAAACCUGUUUUCACUUUGUUAUUAUGGGGUAUUGUGAUGUCAUUAUGGGGUAUUGUGAUGUCAUUAUGGGGUAUUGUGAUGUCAUUAUGGGGUAGUGUAUAUAGAUUGAUGAGGAAAACAAUGAAUUCAAUCCAUUUUAGAAUAAGGGUGUAACAUAAACAAAAUGUUGAGAAAGGGAAGGGGUCUGAAUACUUUCUGAAUGCGCUGUACAUUGGUUUGUAGGUACUUCCUUUGCUAUUUGUCUCUGUACUCAAUAAAUGGUCAAACACCA
Molecule: long non-coding RNA, 2136 nt
Organism: Oncorhynchus keta (chum salmon)
Lineage: Eukaryota; Metazoa; Chordata; Actinopteri; Salmoniformes; Salmonidae
Exons: 2
Source: RefSeq, a predicted model, not a curated record